This 497-nucleotide ribosomal RNA is filed under the name uncultured bacterium. Its description in RNAcentral is "partial 16S ribosomal RNA". It matches the Rfam family "Bacterial small subunit ribosomal RNA", at positions 28 to 507 of the family's 1533-position model. The record is from RNAcentral.
GAUGAACGCUGGCGUCGUGCCUAAUACAUGCAAGUCGAGCGAACGGACGAGAAGCUUGCUUUUCUGAUGUUAGCGGCGGACGGGUGAGUAACACGUGGAUAACCUACCUAUAAGACUGGGAUAACUUCGGGAAACCGGAGCUAAUACCGGAUAAUAUUUUGAACCGCAUGGUUCAAAAGUGAGAGACGGUCUUGCUGUCACUUAUAGAUGGAUCCGCGCUGCAUUAGCUAGUUGGUAAGGUAACGGCUUACCAAGGCAACGAUGCAUAGCCGACCGGAGAGGGUGAUCGGCCACACUGGAACUGAGACACGGUCCAGACUCCUACGGGAGGCAGCAGUAGGGAAUCUUCCGCAAUGGGCGCAAGCCUGACGGAGCAACGCCGCGUGAGUGAUGAAGGUCUUCGGAUCGUAAAACUCUGUUAUUAGGGAAGAACAUAUGUGUAAGUAACUGUGCACAUCUUGACGGUACCUAAACAGAAAGCCACGGCUAACUACGUG